This 438-nucleotide ribosomal RNA is filed under the name uncultured Salirhabdus sp. Its description in RNAcentral is "bacterial SSU rRNA". It matches the Rfam family "Bacterial small subunit ribosomal RNA", at positions 338 to 768 of the family's 1533-position model. Lineage: Bacteria; Bacillati; Bacillota; Bacilli; Caryophanales; Bacillaceae. The record is from RNAcentral.
CCUACGGGGGGCAGCAGUAGGGAAUCUUCCGCAAUGGACGAAAGUCUGACGGAGCAACGCCGCGUGAGUGAUGAAGGUUUUCGGAUCGUAAAGCUCUGUUGUUAGGGAAGAACAAGUACGAGAGUAACUGCUCGUACCUUGACGGUACCUGACGAGAAAGCCACGGCUAACUACGUGCCAGCAGCCGCGGUAAUACGUAGGUGGCAAGCGUUGUCCGGAAUUAUUGGGCGUAAAGCGCGCGCAGGCGGUUUCUUAAGUCUGAUGUGAAAGCCCACGGCUUAACCGUGGAGGGUCAUUGGAAACUGGGGAACUUGAGUACAGAAGAGGAGAGUGGAAUUCCACGUGUAGCGGUGAAAUGCGUAGAUAUGUGGAGGAACACCAGUGGCGAAGGCGACUCUCUGGUCUGUAACUGACGCUGAGGCGCGAAAGCGUGGGGAG